AGAACAGCAAGGUCUGACUGCUUCCUUAUGCAACCAGGAAAAAAAAUAUCUCCUUCUGUUGACAGACAGCUCUGUGCUCUGUCACUGCAGUUCAGCUGGAAAAGGCAGAAACAGGGGAUGCUGAAGUGCAGCUUGCUUCUCCUUCCUGCUCCUGGAUGGCUCUGACUGCUGCUACUGCACUUUGUACAGCUGCAUACCAGGGCCCUCUCGCUGGCUCCCUGAUGUGGGUCCUGCCUGUGGGUCUGCAUAGCCAUGGCACAGACUGAAGCCUCCCUCAUGAUGUGCUCUGAAAACCUUCAGGCUGGAAGAGGCUGUACACAAGGAAGAUAACACCUCCCUGCUCCCCCAUGCACACCAGAUUGAAGUGCUAACUCUUCCAUUACACCAGCUUCUUCCACCAGCAUAAGUUUUGAUCUAGGAGGAAAAAGACAAGUCUUCUGGGUAGGAUUAAGGAACAAUGGCUAUGACGUGAACUACGACUAAAAGGAUCCUUGGAUCAUUUUCAUCCUGAACACAAAUAUUGAUCUCACAUACUGAAAAGCUGCUCUUUAGUAUAACUAAAAUAUAUCAUAGAAUCAUAGAAUAGAAUCAUAGAAUAGUUAGGGUUGGAAAGGACCUUAAGAUCAUCUAGUUCCAACCCCCCUGCCAUGGGCAGGGACACCUCAUACUAAACCAUGUCACCCAAGGCUCUGUCCAACCUGGCCUUGAAUACCUCCACUUCCAAGAAAACAAUAUCAGCAUCAUAUUUUGUACAAAACCCAAUACUGCAACGCUAAUUGGCUAUUUUAGAGGAAUUAAAUAUUUUAGUAUUGUUAAAUAUGCUUAAGUAUAGAAUUUGUUACCUUUCUUGUUACUAUACUCUCCUGCUUUUA
This is a long non-coding RNA of Neopsephotus bourkii (Bourke's parrot), 872 nucleotides long. RefSeq lists it as uncharacterized. The record is from RefSeq and is a predicted model, not a curated record. Lineage: Eukaryota; Metazoa; Chordata; Aves; Psittaciformes; Psittacidae. The transcript has 3 exons.